Sorghum bicolor (sorghum) is the source of this 1381-nucleotide long non-coding RNA. RefSeq lists it as uncharacterized. The transcript is spliced from 2 exons. NCBI's taxonomy places the organism in Eukaryota, Viridiplantae, Streptophyta, Magnoliopsida, Poales, Poaceae. The record is from RefSeq and is a predicted model, not a curated record.
GCGGCUUCUCACUCUCCGUCUCUCAUGUUCCUCUGCUCUCCACCCUAUCGUUCUCUCUCCCCCAGUCCCUAAUCGCGGCAGCACUCGGCGGCAGCGGCCCGGCACAGGCGCCCCACGGCACGGCAGCCUGGGCAGGCUCUAGCUACGGCCGACCUGGCACGGCAGCCUGAGCCUCAGCACCCUUCGGAUCUGGUGGUUCCUGCGAUGGCGCCCCAAAGCGCGGCUACCUGAGCGGGCUUUGCUUGCGAUGGUCCUGAUGCAUCAGCCUACGUGUGAGCGCUCACCGGAUCUGGUGAUUCCGCUGUCGUCCCCUCCUAUCUCCUCUCUUUGUGGGUUGUGGCAUGGGGUUCCCACCGCUGGCCACUCGAGUUGCCGCUUCGGUGACUCCGUCUGUACAUCAUAUUAAUACUUCAUUUGUUGCCCGACAUGUGCAUGCAUGGACCCACCUGUAUGAUACCCAAAGAAAACAAACAUGGUGGACGUACAUACUACUGCACCAUCGGAAGGCCAAUCUCGAUAGAGUUUCAUUAGAGUUUUAUAGACAUUAAAUAUAUUGAUAUGACACCAUAUUAAUGAAGAGAGAGAUCAUAAGAGUUUUAUGGAAGUAGAGAGAGUUUCAUGCAGAUAAAACUCUUCUGUACUGUUUCCAAAAUAUUGGUGUCUUGGAAACUGGGUCAUGAAACUUCCACUGAGGAUGACCUAAUUGGAUGGCGUGACCACGAGAUGCGAUGCCAAGUUAGAAGGUCAAAAGAACUAAAACUCUGAACCGGACGGUACUCCUUGCUAAGGCCGUCAGGGGGGCCACCCGAGCUGCAAAUUAUGUGGAAAUAAGCCAGAGACACCAAGUCACCUCUGUCUGAACUGCCUAUUUACUAAACAAGUCUGGUCAGACCUAAAGCACUGGCUGAACCUGUCACUGCUCAAUGUAGUAACGAUGUCAGACACACUUCAUGGAUUUUGGUGAAGGUGUCGAGCCAUGUUUGAUAAGAACCACAAGAGAAUUUUUUAUGAAGUCAUGAUCUAUAUUUGGUGGAACAUAUGAAAGGAAUGGAAACGAUCCAUGCAAGCAAGUCAAGUAGCUAUGCUCUGUAAAGAUGAUAUUACACAAUUCCAUCUAGCAUCGAGGGAACCCGUUCAUGAAGGAGUGGAAGGUUUCUUUUUCCUUUUUUUCCUCCCAAGUGCUUUUCUUGUUAGUGGUUUCACCCUCUUCUAUGGCGGGGUUGUUCCUUCUCGCUCUCUGUGUUAUGCCUAGGGGUCCUUAUGUAUUGGUAGUUUCAAGUCGAAGGUUUUUAAUUCAGAUAGUGGUCAGAGUAGAGGUGUUUUGUAGCCAAAGUGUGGCUGUUGUAACUUUUUUCCUCGUCUAAUAAAAAUUUGGCAAAUC